This 107-nucleotide small nuclear RNA is filed under the name Colobus angolensis palliatus. The record is from RNAcentral. Lineage: Eukaryota; Metazoa; Chordata; Mammalia; Primates; Cercopithecidae.
GUGCUCGCUUUGAUAGCACAUAUACUAAAAUUGGUACAAUACAGAGAAGAUUAGCAUGGCCCCUGCACAAGGAUGUCACACAAAUUCAUGAAGUGUUCCAUAAUUUU